UUUCCCUCUGAUGUUUUGGCAGGAGUUAUUUUUUUUUUUUAGAUGUGGUGCUGCUGGUCACCAUAGACACUGCAGGUCUUUGAAGGCAGCACCGACACUCCUCAUUAACACUGGAGUGGGUGUCAACAGGUGAAGGUAAUUAGUACGAGGUUUUAGCGGAGUGAAAGGAAUCAGGGGAAGUUGGGCCAACUAUUUUUUUUUUAGCCUUUUUGUUUUCUUAGGUCAAUCCCUCAAGCUGCUGUUUGGGCUGAGGGUGCACAGAUGUGUCUUUGACUCUUUUUCAGACGGCACACAAGAGGUGGAGGCUGGAUCAGAGCUCUGAUUUUUCUGCCAUACAUUCAGACACUUUAGGUAAAGAGAGAAAAAUUGCCCACUGUAUACAGAGCCACUUCAGUAACUUGACCGGGCCUGGCCUUCGCUCUGUGUGCAGUGGAUGAGUUUGGCAGCAAGUGGGCUCCCAUUGAUGAUGAACUGGAGAGAGGGAGAGAAAAGCAGCAGGGGGCCUAAACACAGCACAGCCACCAACAAGGACCCCUGUCACUUGUGAUGUCACUCCUCUAAUCACCCACAGGGGGCGCUACGGAACCAGCAGAAAGCUGCGUGCUGCUCUUAUCUGGCCAGACCUGCUGCAGGAGCCAACCUGCAGUGCAUUAAACAAGCCACCACGACACACACACGCGCGUGCUCAUAUAAACAGAUACACGCAGAGCAGCGUGUGUGUGACUUGCUGUGGAGAUGAACAGAAUAAUGAGAAAGGAGCGACAGUCAGUGACAGUUAAAGGAAGGAGAGGGAGAGUUCAUCAGGAGGAUUGAUUGGUCCAUUGUAGUGUAUAUUUGUGAAUAAUUCAUCUCUGAGAUUACUUAGAAAAUGUAAUGCAUAUUUUCUCUCUAUAACCUGUGCAAGAAAGUGACCUGGAGAGUGGGAUUCAAAGAGUAAUGGUCUUAAUGGGAUUGUGUACGUUUGCUUUCAACAUGUUUAAUAGUAAAGAGCCAGAGAUUCAACACUAUUUGAAUAUGUUGCUAUUGGUUGUUUCCCUCAUUUGGGAAAUCUUGUAAUUAAAAUCGUCAAUGCUGGAAAUGCUAGUCGAUCAGGGUUUUUUGUUUUUUUUCUACUUGUUUCUUUGUGCAAAUGGACACAUAAGAGAAGUAGCAGUGCAUGAAACCUGUCAACUUUGCAGCCAUCUGAGUCAUGCCAACUGUGUGUGACAAGUGUCAAAAUGAAUGUGAUUCUUUGUCAGUUUCCAAAGUAGAAAGUUUUUUGUGUUUUUGGCAGGAAGAAUGC
This is a long non-coding RNA of Eleginops maclovinus (Patagonian blennie), 1282 nucleotides long. RefSeq lists it as uncharacterized. The transcript is spliced from 3 exons. NCBI's taxonomy places the organism in Eukaryota, Metazoa, Chordata, Actinopteri, Perciformes, Eleginopidae. The record is from RefSeq and is a predicted model, not a curated record.